RNAcentral lists this ribosomal RNA (494 nucleotides) under uncultured bacterium. Its description in RNAcentral is "partial 16S ribosomal RNA". It matches the Rfam family "Bacterial small subunit ribosomal RNA", at positions 28 to 507 of the family's 1533-position model. The record is from RNAcentral.
GACGAACGCUGGCGGCGUGCUUAACACAUGCAAGUCGAACGGUGAAGCGCCUUCCUUUUUGGUGGGUGUGGAUGAGUGGCGAACGGGUGAGUAACACGUGAGUAACCUGCCCCCUUCUUCUGGAUAACCGCAUGAAAGUGUGGCUAAUACGGGAUAUUCUGGGUCUGUCGCAUGAUGGGUCUGGGAAAGAUAUUGUUUCGGUGGGGGAUGGGCUCGCGGCCUAUCAGCUUGUUGGUGGGGUGAUGGCCUACCAAGGCGGUGACGGGUAGCCGGCCUGGGAGGGUGGACGGCCGCAGUGGGACUGAGACCCGGCCCGGACUCCGACGGGAGGCAGCAGUGGGGAGUAGGGCACAAUGGGCGAAAGCCUGAUGCAGCGACGCCGCGGGAGGGAUGGAGGCCUUCGGGUUGUGAACCUCUUUCGCCAGUGAAGCAGGCCUGCCUCGUUUGUGGGUGGGUUGACGGUAGCUGGAUAAGAAGCGCCGGCUAACUACGUG